UGCAGAAUCCCGUGAACCAUCGAGUCUUUGAACGCAAGUUGCGCCCCAAGCCUUCUGGCCGAGGGCACGUCUGCCUGGGUGUCACAAAUCGUCGUCCCCCCAUCCUCUCGAGGAUAUGGGACGGAAGCUGAUCUCCCGUGUGUUACCGCACGCGGUUGGCCAAAAUCCGAGCUAAGGACGUCAGGAGCGUCUUGACAUGCGGUGGUGAAUUUAAUUCUCGUCAUAUAGUCAGACGUUCCGGUCCAAAAGCUCUUGAUGACCCAAAGUCCUCAACGCGACCCCAGGUCAGGCGGGAUCACCCGCUGAGUUUAAGCAUAUCAAUAAGCGGAGGAAAAGAAACUAACAAGGAUUCCCUUAGUAACGGCGAGCGAACCGGGAAGAGCCCAGCUUGAAAAUCGGACGUCUUCGGCGUUCGA
RNAcentral lists this ribosomal RNA (416 nucleotides) under Brassica rapa (field mustard). RNAcentral's name for it is "eukaryotic LSU rRNA". The stretch from base 276 to 416 matches the Rfam family "Eukaryotic large subunit ribosomal RNA", at positions 1 to 141 of the family's 3401-position model. Lineage: Eukaryota; Viridiplantae; Streptophyta; Magnoliopsida; Brassicales; Brassicaceae. The record is from RNAcentral.